RNAcentral lists this transfer RNA (86 nucleotides) under Pseudomonadota bacterium. RNAcentral's name for it is "Proteobacteria bacterium tRNA-Tyr". It matches the Rfam family "tRNA". Rfam says of the family: Transfer RNA (tRNA) molecules are approximately 80 nucleotides in length. Their secondary structure includes four short double-helical elements and three loops (D, anti-codon, and T loops). Lineage: Bacteria; Pseudomonadati; Pseudomonadota. The record is from RNAcentral. RNAcentral also lists the same sequence under 1 other name.
GGAGGGUUGCCCGAGCGGCCAAUGGGGGCGGGCUGUAAACCCGUUGACUUACGUCUUCGAAGGUUCGAAUCCUUCACCCUCCACCA